CCCCCCCAAAAAAAUAUAUGUAUAUAUUUGCGGGCCCAGGAUUUAGUUCAGUGGUUCUGCUGCUUGCCUUGCAAGUGCAAGGCCCUGAGUUUGAUCCCUGGCACCCCCCAAAAAACAUUGCAUAAAGAAGUGUUAGCGCUCUGUACAGGUCAAUGGACACUGUAAUUAUGUGUAUCAAGAAAGGAAAAUCUUGGGCCAGGGAUUUAGCUCAGCGGCUUUGCUGCCUGCCUUGCAAGUGAAAGGGGCCCGAGUUCAAUCCCCGGUACCAAAAAACCAAAAAAAAGGAAAAUGUUGAGCCCCAGAGGAGUCAGAAAAAGCAAAACAAAAUCUAGAGUGGGAAACCUCCUUCACCGGCCCAUAUGUUCAUGUGGAAAUACAGCAGAAAUACUUGCAAAAAAAGAAGAGAAGCACUAGUUUCUUUAAACAAUGGGUCCAAGUAGCAGCGGCCACAGACAGCGCCUCGCCUGACCACCACAGGCGGGAGGUGCUCGGCACCAUCCAGGGAGGACUAGGACGUGGGGAACAAGGCCGGGCAGGGGCCCCGCUUCAGACGGGCUUCCGUGUCUCUGUGGUUACCAGGACAGCCGGCGCCGUUGUCAUGGCUACGGGACUCGGUUGUCCUCUUUCUGCUGCAGGAAAUGACUCGGCUGGGGGAAGGACACCCUGGGACCCGCAUGGGCAGCCGUGGAGCCCCACGCAGCAGCCGCACCGCCGUAACUGCCGAAGCCGGUCCCGGAGAAGAAGGCGCCGGCUGAUCCCGGCCGCUCGGUUCCGGUGGGUCGUUCCUGACGUCCAGGUGGCCUCAGAUGCAGAUUUAUCCCUUAAAGACAGCGUCCUCUCCUGUGUGGGGUUCGCUGAGAAAUCCCGGGCCGGGGUCUCUCUGAGGGCGCUGAGAGCUGCUCGUGUCCAGGAGGGAGACCAUGAAGGCUGCGGAGAGGCGCUGAGCCUUCACUGACCAACCUGAGUUACAACCAGCCCUCGGGACUGAGUCGGUAAAUCAAGGGCCCACUGUAGUGGCAGACAGUCUACCCAGAGCUUGCCUGUGCGGGCACUAGACUAAGCGCUUCGCUUGCCGGUCUGGCUGAAUCGUCGCCGUCUUAAUCUCAUCUGAUGUCCAAGGCUCUUCUUGACAAUUCCAGGGCACGAGCCCGGCAGCACUAUGUCCCACCUGACUUUCAGUUGUAUUCCCUACCAACCUACAAAGGACUCCCCGAGUGGCCUCCACUGGAUUCAAAUCCAGCCAUCUCCUCAUCUAUGGCUUUGUCCUUAUCUGUCCUCUGCCGGAGAGAGUGAGAAAGUUACAUUAAGGCCUGGGAAGUCACAGGGCUGAAAGCCAUAAACAAAACCAAACCAGAC
RNAcentral lists this long non-coding RNA (1356 nucleotides) under Fukomys damarensis (Damara mole-rat). RNAcentral describes it as "lncRNA (ENSFDAG00000023862.1)". The record is from RNAcentral. Lineage: Eukaryota; Metazoa; Chordata; Mammalia; Rodentia; Bathyergidae.